CAUGGAGCCUGCUUCUCCCUCUGCCUGUGUCUCUGCCUCUCUCUCUCUGUGUGACUAUCAUAAAUAAAUAAAAAUUAAAAAAAAAAAAAAGGAAUUUUGCUACAGAGAAGUUAAUUAACUUUCCCAAAGUCACACAACUAUGAAGUGCAGUCUCCAGUAUUUGAACUCAGUGUUAGCUGUCAUCCUAUAUUGCUUCAAUGUGACUUAAUCCCUGCAACACACAAGUGGAUGUUAAUUGUGUGAGGCUGUACUUGUGAUAAUACUAUUCAUGACUUUUACCUUCCAAACUUUCUGUAACAUUCUUAAUGAAAUAUGCCUUUUAAAAAUGUUUAGGCAGAAGGCAUUUAAAGGCUUUAUGGGAAGGGAUGGAAAGUAUGACAGAGAAUGAAGGAAUCACAACCACCAGUCUAAGCCAAAGGAAAUUGCCCUCAGGCUAUAAGGCUGAGGGCUCCAUCAGUCUUUCUGACCUGACCAGCUGGGAAGCCCUUGUGUGCUCUGCAUGAGUAUAUGGGGCGGGUAGGGCCAGCGGGCAAGGGGGUUAGGGAAGUAGCAGGGCUGUCCUGUUUCUUGAUUGAGUCUCUCUGUUAGACUCAGUGGAAGAACCAAGUGUAUCCUGUGGAAUUACAUAGUGGGUUGUGAUGCACUUGAAUCAAAUGUUUGGUCCUCUCUGAUUCACCUAAGCUUAACUACCAAUACAAUAGGUCACAAGAAAUGUGAAUUGCUAGUCCCAGUCAUGAUUUUAUAUCAUAUAGAAAAAUGAAAAAAAUACUGGAAACAGAAUAUGGUUGUUUUCUCAACUCAAUAAAAAGCAUUGUCCCAGGUUCAAUUGGAACAGUUAUAUUAAUUGUACAUAUAGCUAUAGGCUAUAUGGCUUAUUAAAGUCUAUCAGAACAAUAUUGACUAAAAUUAUGUAAUUUAUUGCCAGUUAUAGAAAAAGAUGAGACCAUUUGCUGUUAAUGCUUUAGGCUGCAAUUGAGGAAAAAGAUCAGAAUUAUAAAAAUUGCCCAUAUUUUUUAAAAAUACCACUAGGAACAAAAAACAACAUUAACUCUCUUAUUUUGUCAUCUAAAUAUAAAGCAUGUUUCUUUUUUGUCAGAAAAACCAGCAAUUCUUGUAAUAAAACCUACCCUGGAGGGUAUGUAAGACUAAGCUUAGAAAAAAUGUGAAUAAAGGAAAUCAUAAAGAAUUACUUGGAGCUAUAGUUGUUGAUCAUGAGGAUUAGGCUUGACAGGAAAAUAUGUCCUUUGGGAAAAUCUAUUAAUUCUUAAUAGCAAAUUUUGCUACAACCUGUAAAAUUGUUGCAGUGUAUCUGCUGAAAACCUAUUUUACUUGAGAAACAGAAGUUUCUAAUGUCCUGAGAUCUACCCUACAUGAAAUGUGACUAUUAAAUUCUAAAUAUGAAGAUAAAAACCAAAAAAAAAAUCUAAAAUCCAAAAGUUCAUAAACAUUGAAUGGACAGAGCAUCUGGACUUACAGACAUUUACUUUUAACAUAUUUAUAUACUAAAUUUCAAAUAGAGAUUCACUGAAAUCAAGAAGAAACUGGUAUGACUAAUAUUUCAAGUGCUAAGUAGAUUAUAAAACAUAUUUUAAAAAGAUUCUCUUCUUUGUGAAUAAUUUGAUUCCCUCUUUUUUUUCCCACCGCAGUUGUCUUUCAGUCUUCAGUACAAAUAGCCUCUUAUUCCAAAAUACAGGUUAAAAUUGUGUCUAAAUAAAGUGUCUUGUUUCUGAUGGACACAGAUGCACUCUGAAACAGGCUAUUUCUUAUCUCUUAGUAAGUGUAUUGAUCUUCUUUGAAGCGUUUUUUGGUAAUCUUUGAUUACCACUAUCUAUUUGAUGUCCUAGAAUCCUGUUAUUACAGAUACAAAACCAAAAUAUCCUAGUUUUAAAGGACCUCUAAUGCUUCAGUGAUUUGGUUUUAUAAAUGUGAUUCCAGCUCUGCCUUGUUUCAGACCAUUUCAUGGAAUCUAUCAGACCAUGAAGUCUUUUAGUAAACCUCAAGAUUGCUGAAUGCAAUACAAUUAGAUAGGAUGGACUAUGUCUGCAAGGUGUAUUUCCAGUGGUCUUUGGACAGUGGGCUUUCACAAUCCCCAAAAUAAUAUGCCCAAAAAUGCUACAAUGGGAGAAACUAUUUUAAGGCCCUGAUUCUUAGUAUAGCCUAUAAAUUAAGUAUGUAGGUUACCUUAAAUUUUGCAUUUUAGAGAACUUAAUGUCUAAAACUCAAUAUUUCAAAAAUUUCCUAAACUAUAUCCAGAUUCAUUGUUUUGACAGUAAUGGGAUAAAGACAUCCAAACAUAGGAAGUAUAGAUGAGGUCCCAAAUUUAUGCCCACAGUUGUGAGCCAGGCAAGUAACAUGAAGGGAUGAAUCCAGACACAUGAUAGCUAAAGUGAGGGAAAGCUCUAAGGCAUGUCUCCCAGGAGACAUCCCAAUAAGAGACCUCCAGUACAGAUUAUCAAGUUGAGUAUGUCCUAUACCCAUCCUAGGAUGUCUUUUGACUAUUAUUUUUAAGAUUAAGUCUUGACCACAGUGAGAUACCAUUUCAUAUCCACUAGGAUGGCUACAAUAAAAAGGAUGGACAAUAAGAAGUGUUGAGGUGGAUGGAGAAAAAUUGAAGCCCUCACAUAUUGCUAAUGGAAUAUAAAAUGAUACAGCUUCUUUGGAAAACAAUUUAG
Molecule: long non-coding RNA, 2672 nt
Filed under: Canis lupus familiaris (dog)
Lineage: Eukaryota; Metazoa; Chordata; Mammalia; Carnivora; Canidae
Description: lncRNA (ENSCAFG00000054163.1)
Source: RNAcentral